Octodon degus (degu) is the source of this 85-nucleotide microRNA precursor. NCBI's taxonomy places the organism in Eukaryota, Metazoa, Chordata, Mammalia, Rodentia, Octodontidae. The record is from Ensembl.
GGGCUCGACUCCUGUUCCUGCUGAACUGAGCCAGUGUGUACAACGAGAACUGAUAUCAGCUCAGUAGGCACCGGAGGGCGGGUCC